This 29-nucleotide non-coding RNA is filed under the name Homo sapiens (human). The record is from RNAcentral. Lineage: Eukaryota; Metazoa; Chordata; Mammalia; Primates; Hominidae.
UAACUGCUUUACUGCGGCUCAAGGUCUGA